UCCGGGAACCGGGCGGCGGCAGCGCCGCCAAUCCCGCCAGGUCCGAAAGGAAGCAACGGUAACGGUUGGUGCCGGGUGUCCGGUUCCCCAAAGG
RNAcentral lists this signal recognition particle RNA (94 nucleotides) under Desulfovibrionaceae bacterium. RNAcentral describes it as "signal recognition particle sRNA small type". It matches the Rfam family "Bacterial small signal recognition particle RNA". Rfam says of the family: The signal recognition particle (SRP) is a universally conserved ribonucleoprotein involved in the co-translational targeting of proteins to membranes. Archaeal SRP consists of a 7S RNA and homologues of the eukaryotic SRP19 and SRP54 proteins. Lineage: Bacteria; Pseudomonadati; Thermodesulfobacteriota; Desulfovibrionia; Desulfovibrionales; Desulfovibrionaceae. The record is from RNAcentral. RNAcentral also lists the same sequence under 1 other name.